This 1377-nucleotide ribosomal RNA is filed under the name Legionella pneumophila. RNAcentral describes it as "partial 23S ribosomal RNA". It matches the Rfam family "Bacterial large subunit ribosomal RNA", at positions 1557 to 2925 of the family's 2925-position model. Lineage: Bacteria; Pseudomonadati; Pseudomonadota; Gammaproteobacteria; Legionellales; Legionellaceae. The record is from RNAcentral.
UGAGGUGCGAAGUGGUUCUGACCUUUUGGUACAGAGAAGUCAUUGAUGCCCGGCUUCCAGGAAAAGCUGCUAGCCAUAACUUAUAGAGAACCGUACCGCAAACCGACACAGGUGGACAGGUAGAGAAUACUAAGGCGCUUGAGAGAACUCGGGUGAAGGAACUAGGCAAAAUGGUACCGUAACUUCGGGAGAAGGUACGCCCUUUCUGGUGAUGGGAUUUACUUUCAGAGCUGGAGAGGGCCGCAGAGACCAGGUGGCUGCGACUGUUUAUUAAAAACACAGCACUCUGCAAAUUCGUAAGAAGACGUAUAGGGUGUGACGCCUGCCCGGUGCCGGAAGGUUAAUUGAUGGGGUUAUCUUCGGAGAAGCUCUUGAUCGAAGCCCCGGUAAACGGCGGCCGUAACUAUAACGGUCCUAAGGUAGCGAAAUUCCUUGUCGGGUAAGUUCCGACCUGCACGAAUGGCGUAACGAUGGCCACACUGUCUCCACCCGAGACUCAGUGAAAUUGAAAUCGCUGUGAAGAUGCAGUGUACCCGCGGCUAGACGGAAAGACCCCGUGAACCUUUACUAUAGUUUUGCACUGGACUUUGAUGAUGACUGUGUAGGAUAGGUGGGAGGCUGUGAAGUGAGGACGCUAGUUCUCAUGGAGCCGCCCUUGAAAUACCACCCUGUUGUUAUUGAGGUUCUAACUUGGUCCAGUAAUCCUGGAUGAGGACAGUGUAUGAUGGGUAGUUUGACUGGGGCGGUCUCCUCCCAAAGAGUAACGGAGGAGCACAAAGGUACCCUCGGUACGGUCGGACAUCGUACCAAGAGUGUAAAGGCAAAAGGGUGCUUGACUGCGAGAGUGACGGCUCGAGCAGGAACGAAAGUUGGUCUUAGUGAUCCGGUGGUUCUGAAUGGAAGGGCCAUCGCUCAACGGAUAAAAGGUACUCCGGGGAUAACAGGCUGAUACCGCCCAAGAGUUCAUAUCGACGGCGGUGUUUGGCACCUCGAUGUCGGCUCAUCACAUCCUGGGGCUGAAGCAGGUCCCAAGGGUAUGGCUGUUCGCCAUUUAAAGUGGUACGCGAGCUGGGUUUAGAACGUCGUGAGACAGUUCGGUCCCUAUCUGCCGUGGGCGUAGGAAAAUUGAGAGGAGCUGCUCCUAGUACGAGAGGACCGGAGUGGACGAACCUCUGGUGCACCGGUUGUCACGCCAGUGGCAUGGCCGGGUAGCUAAGUUCGGACGGGAUAACCGCUGAAAGCAUCUAAGCGGGAAGCCUCCCUCAAGAUGAGUUUUCCCAUGAAGCCCGUUGAAGACUACGACGUUGAUAGGCAAGGUGUGGAAGCGCAGUAAUGCGUGAAGCUAACUUGUACUAAUUGGCUGAUUGUCUUGACCAU